Manis javanica (Malayan pangolin) is the source of this 2452-nucleotide non-coding RNA. The record is from RefSeq and is a predicted model, not a curated record. Lineage: Eukaryota; Metazoa; Chordata; Mammalia; Pholidota; Manidae.
AGUCAGCCCCUGGGGCCGCUCGGGGAGCUGGGAUGCUGCUCGGGCCACGUGCGCCAGGGAGUACUUAGAGUGGCGGCGGCCUGCUGGUGGUGGGGGAGACCCUCUGUGGGCAGGGCCUUGAGCCGAAGCACCAUCCCUCAGCGGCAGGGCGCCCCAUGCUUUCAUGCUUUGAGUUCUGGGACUAUUGACGCCCCAGGCGGGGCCGGCCUUUCCACACCUGGCCAGGGGCGGCAGAGAAGAAUGCGCUCGGUUUUGCCGCGAAUCGCGAGCCCUCCGGCGCAAAGAUCCAGAGAGAGGUGGGGGUUUCCAUCUGAUGCAAGAUGAGCCCCAGGCAAAGCUGUGGGAAGCUGAUGUUUGUCUUUGGUGCCGUUCUUGUCUUUUCCACUAAACAGAAGCCUCUUCUUAAAAGCACAUACACAACUGUCUGAGGAUUCCCCCCCAGCCUUUUCUUUAAGAGGAAAAAGGCUGAGUGUCAAACACAAAUCUAACUGUGCGAGAGAGCACAAUAUUGCCACUAUUAUGAAGGCUCCCAGAAGGAGAGGAGGUGAACAGUCUCUGGGUCACAGUCCUACUGAAGCUUUUGUGAGUGUAUCUGAACCAUCUGGGAGAAGUCAAUGAUUAAGCCAAUAAGUAAGUCCUGAAGUCUAGGGCUCUGGGACCAGAAAAUCUAGUAGAGCUAUGGAUUUAUAGACAGGUUAUCCAGUAGGUACAUGGGCAGAGGCAGUGGGCUGUAUGUUUGUUUUGCUUCUAAGCACCUAUAGAUUCUCUCAAACGCUCAAGAGUAAAUCCAAGAAGGAGUGGAAUGAAUGUCUUCAGCUGGCCCACUCAGCUAGAAUGGAAGAGAGAAGCAGAAUUUGAUCACAUGGUCAUGGCAAGCAAGUAUAGGUAAGAAUCUGGACCAGGCUUACCUGGGCACUCUGUCCUCAGGUUCAAAGGAGUAUAAUGGCAGAGGAAAUCCUGGUGAUAACUGAGAAAGAAGUCAACUGAAUUAUUUAUGUCCUAGAUGUUCAGCUCUUUCAUCACCUGGGGUAGUAACCAGCAGAAUGCCGGAAUUGGAAGGCACUUUGGAACUAACUCAAGCCUCACCUAUACAGGGAAAGAGCCCUGUAUUUGCUCCAGAAGGCAUUCUCCGAGCACUCUGCUGGGCCUAUUAUACAGCUAGCUCAAGAUUCUUGGGCAUACAUGUCUGCCUAGGGGAGAAGGGAGGCCCAGAGGUCUGGAUCUUGAGGGAAAGGAACUUUCAGAGGUAGUCUGCCCAGUUGACUGUGUCUUCGCAGAGGCACCAAAGCAAACUGCGUCCAAGUUGCUUUAUCAGGUUUUGUCCCUUUUGACAAAGUUCUGAACAUUUGGGAAGAGCUUGUCCUGGAGGAGUGGGUCAUAGUGUGACUAUGAGGAAGAACCGUGGAGGAACACCUCACCUGCUAUUGCCCUACCAGGGACAAUCCAAAGCCAGAGACCCAGUUUCCAAGCCCAUCACUAAACCUGUGCCAUGGGGUGGAAGUAUUCUGUACACAGUUUUCUGCACCUCUCUCCCCACAAAAUGGUGGGUUUUGUUGAUGUUGUUUAAUAUACUUCUACAUAGUAUUUCAUUGUAUGGAUGAACUACAGUGUAUUCAACCAAUCCACUAAGGAUGAGUAGUAACAUUUCAUCUCUACUUUUUCUUUUGCAGACUUUAUAUUCUACUCUUUUUUCCUCACUGUUCUUUUAAAUUUUUAUUUUAUUUUUUAAAAAUAAGAUAUAAAUAAACAUAUAGAAUUUUAAUAGAUAUUGCCAAAUUGAACACUAAAAAGGUUAUACAAUUUACACUCUGACUUAAUACAUGAAAGUGCCUGUUUUGCAUUGUUCACAACAGGCAAAUUAUGGAGACAACUCAAAUGUUUAUAGGCAGAUAAACAGAUAGAGACAAUGUGGUAUAUACAUGCAAUGGAAUGCUAUUCAACCUUAAAAAAGAAGAAAAAUCUGCAUUGUGACAACAUGAAUGAACCUGGAGGACAUUACGUUAAGUGAAUCAAGCUAGUUAAGCUAGAUAAUACCGUAUGAUAUCACUAAUAUGUGGUACUUAAAAUAGUCAAACUCAUAAAAGCAGAGAAUAGAACAGUGAUUACCAGGGACUGGGGGAAAGGUAAAUGGGCAGUUGCUACUCAACUGGUGUAAACUUUAAGUUAAGCAAAAUAAAUACAUUUUAGAGAUCUGCCAGUUGCCAUAGUACCUCUAGUUAACAGUCCUAUAUUGUGCAUUUAAAAAUUUGUUAAGAGGGUAGAUCUUAUAUUAAGUGUUCUUAGCACACAAAGGGACACAAGGAAGCUUUUGGAAGUGACAGAUAUGUCUAUUUUCCUCCACUGUGGUGAUGGUUUCAUCGGUGUAUGCGUAUGUCCACUCAUCAAAUCAUACAAUUAAAUAUGUGAAGUUUUUUGUAUAUCAGUAAUGACUCAAUAAAGCUGUUUUAAAAAA